UUUUUCCUACGGGGGGCAGCAGUGGGGAAUAUUGCACAAUGGGGGAAACCCUGAUGCAGCGACGCCGCGUGAAGGAAGAAGUAUUUCGGUAUGUAAACUUCUAUCAGCAGGGAAGAAAAUGACGGUACCUGACUAAGAAGCCCCGGCUAACUACGCGCCAGCAGCCGCGGUAAUACGUAGGGGGCAAGCGUUAUCCGGAUUUACUGGGUGUAAAGGGAGCGUAGACGGCAGUGCAAGUCUGAAGUGAAAGGCAAGGGCUCAACCCUUGGACUGCUUUGGAAACUGUGCUGCUCGAGUGUCGGAGG
This 305-nucleotide ribosomal RNA is filed under the name uncultured bacterium. RNAcentral's name for it is "bacterial SSU rRNA". It matches the Rfam family "Bacterial small subunit ribosomal RNA", at positions 333 to 655 of the family's 1533-position model. The record is from RNAcentral.